This 461-nucleotide ribosomal RNA is filed under the name uncultured bacterium. RNAcentral's name for it is "bacterial SSU rRNA". It matches the Rfam family "Bacterial small subunit ribosomal RNA", at positions 420 to 882 of the family's 1533-position model. The record is from RNAcentral.
GGGUUGUAAACUUCUUUUAUACGGGAAUAAAGUGAGGCACGUGUGCCUUUUUGUAUGUACCGUAUGAAUAAGGAUCGGCUAACUCCGUGCCAGCAGCCGCGGUAAUACGGAGGAUCCGAGCGUUAUCCGGAUUUAUUGGGUUUAAAGGGAGCGUAGGCGGACGCUUAAGUCAGUUGUGAAAGUUUGCGGCUCAACCGUAAAAUUGCAGUUGAUACUGGGUGUCUUGAGUACAGUAGAGGCAGGCGGAAUUCGUGGUGUAGCGGUGAAAUGCUUAGAUAUCACGAAGAACUCCGAUUGCGAAGGCAGCUUGCUGGACUGUAACUGACGCUGAUGCUCGAAAGUGUGGGUAUCAAACAGGAUUAGAUACCCUGGUAGUCCACACAGUAAACGAUGAAUACUCGCUGUUUGCGAUAUACAGUAAGCGGCCAAGCGAAAGCGUUAAGUAUUCCACCUGGGGAGUA